This 253-nucleotide ribosomal RNA is filed under the name uncultured bacterium. Its description in RNAcentral is "partial 16S ribosomal RNA". It matches the Rfam family "Bacterial small subunit ribosomal RNA", at positions 524 to 776 of the family's 1533-position model. The record is from RNAcentral.
UACGUAGGGUGCAAGCGUUGUCCGGAAUUAUUGGGCGUAAAGAGCUCGUAGGCGGUCUGUCGCGUCGGAUGUGAAAACUCGGGGCUCAACCCCGGGCCUGCAUUCGAUACGGGCAGACUAGAGUACGGCAGGGGAGACUGGAAUUCCUGGUGUAGCGGUGAAAUGCGCAGAUAUCAGGAGGAACACCAAUAGCGAAGGCAGCUCGCUGGGACGUUACUGACACUGAGGCGCGAAAGCGUGGGGAGCGAACAGG